This 43-nucleotide ribosomal RNA is filed under the name Gymnopilus penetrans. RNAcentral's name for it is "partial 18S ribosomal RNA". It matches the Rfam family "Eukaryotic small subunit ribosomal RNA", at positions 1789 to 1831 of the family's 1831-position model. The record is from RNAcentral. Lineage: Eukaryota; Fungi; Basidiomycota; Agaricomycetes; Agaricales; Galerinaceae.
CCGUAACAAGGUUUCCGUAGGUGAACCUGCGGAAGGAUCAUUA